RNAcentral lists this ribosomal RNA (448 nucleotides) under uncultured bacterium. Its description in RNAcentral is "bacterial SSU rRNA". It matches the Rfam family "Bacterial small subunit ribosomal RNA", at positions 329 to 792 of the family's 1533-position model. The record is from RNAcentral.
UUCCAGACUCCUACGGGAGGCAGCAGUGGGGGAUAUUGGACAAUGGGGGAAACCCUGAUCCAGCGACGCCGCGUGAGUGAAGAAGUAUUUCGGUAUGUAAAGCUCUAUCAGCAGGGAAGAAAGAAAUGACGGUACCUGAGUAAGAAGCCCCGGCUAACUCCGUGCCAGCAGCCGCGGUAAUACGGAGGAUGCGAGCGUUAUCCGGAUUUAUUGGGUUUAAAGGGUGCGUAGGCGGUCUGUUAAGUCAGCGGAAAAAUUGGGGGCCUCACCCCCGUCGAGCCGUUGAAACUGGCAGACUUGAGUUGGCGAGAAGUACGCGGAAUGCGCGGUGUAGCGGUGAAAUGCAUAGAUAUCGCGCAGAACUCCGAUUGCGAAGGCAGCGUACCGGCGCCAGACUGACGCUAAGGCACGAAAGCGUGGGGAUCGAACAGGAUUAGAUACCCCGGUA